UACGUAGGGGGCUAGCGUUGUCCGGAUUUAUUGGGCGUAAAGAGCUCGUAGGUGGUUCGGUAAGUCGGAUGUGAAAUCUCCAGGCUCAACCUGGAGGGGUCAUUCGAUACUGCCGUGACUAGAGUUCGGUAGAGGAGUGUGGAAUUCCUGGUGGAGCGGUGAAAUGCGCAGAGAUCAGGAGGAACACCCGUAGCGAAGGCGGCGCUCUGGGCCGAUACUGACACUGAGGAGCGAAAGCGUGGGGAGCGAACAGG
RNAcentral lists this ribosomal RNA (254 nucleotides) under uncultured bacterium. Its description in RNAcentral is "partial 16S ribosomal RNA". It matches the Rfam family "Bacterial small subunit ribosomal RNA", at positions 524 to 776 of the family's 1533-position model. The record is from RNAcentral.